RNAcentral lists this transfer RNA (72 nucleotides) under Capra hircus (goat). It matches the Rfam family "tRNA". From Rfam's summary of the family: Transfer RNA (tRNA) molecules are approximately 80 nucleotides in length. Their secondary structure includes four short double-helical elements and three loops (D, anti-codon, and T loops). Further hydrogen bonds mediate the characteristic L-shaped molecular structure. tRNAs have two regions of fundamental functional importance: the anti-codon, which is responsible for specific mRNA codon recognition, and the 3' end, to which the tRNAs corresponding amino acid is attached (by aminoacyl-tRNA synthetases). tRNAs cope with the degeneracy of the genetic code in two manners: having more than one tRNA (with a specific anti-codon) for a particular amino acid; and 'wobble' base-pairing, i.e. permitting non-standard base-pairing at the 3rd anti-codon position. RNAcentral also lists the same sequence under 1 other name. Lineage: Eukaryota; Metazoa; Chordata; Mammalia; Artiodactyla; Bovidae. The record is from Rfam by way of RNAcentral.
UCCCUGGUGGCUCAGAGGUUAAAGCACCUGCCUGCAAUGCAGGAGACCUGAGUUCAAUCCCUGGGUUGGGAA